UCUGAAUCUGCGNACGGCUCCGCAAACCAGUUGUAAACUAUAGCAAGCAAUCCUCGGCUGGGCUUCGGUCCGGUCGGGGUAACAUGGAUAACCCUGGUAAUUCUGAGGCUAAUACAAGAACGUAAUCCCUGGCUGACCGGCAACGGAAGGCUGGGGGACGUGCAAUGAUUUUCGUAAGAUUAACCGGGAAAGGGUGCACGUUCGGACCGCGCUAAAAACGAAUCUUGGUGAGCCCGCAAGGGUGAGCCUUGGCUCGAGCGGCUCUUGCGGUGUGCUUCUGACCUAUCAACUAGAUGGCAGC
Molecule: ribosomal RNA, 301 nt
Filed under: uncultured myxomycete
Lineage: Eukaryota; Evosea; Eumycetozoa
Description: bacterial SSU rRNA
Rfam family: Eukaryotic small subunit ribosomal RNA
Source: RNAcentral